RNAcentral lists this ribosomal RNA (255 nucleotides) under uncultured bacterium. RNAcentral's name for it is "partial 16S ribosomal RNA". It matches the Rfam family "Bacterial small subunit ribosomal RNA", at positions 524 to 776 of the family's 1533-position model. The record is from RNAcentral.
UACAGAGGUCUCGAGCGUUGUUCGGAUUCAUUGGGCGUAAAGGGUGCGUAGGUGGCGUGGUAAGUCUGGUGUGAAAUCCCGGGGCUCAACCCCGGAACUGCACUGGAUACUGCCAUGCUUGAGUACUGGAGAGGAGAUUGGAAUUUACGGUGUAGCAGUGAAAUGCGUAGAUAUCGUAAGGAAGACCAGUGGCGAAGGCGAAUCUCUGGACAGUUACUGACACUGAGGCAGCGAAAGGCCAGGGGAGCAAACGGG